Molecule: ribosomal RNA, 370 nt
Filed under: uncultured bacterium
Lineage: Bacteria
Description: bacterial SSU rRNA
Rfam family: Bacterial small subunit ribosomal RNA
Source: RNAcentral
CCGGAUUUACUGGGUGUAAAGGGAGCGUAGACGGAUGGGCAAGUCUGAUGUGAAAACCCGGGGCUCAACCCCGGGACUGCAUUGGAAACUGUUCAUCUAGAGUGCUGGAGAGGUAAGUGGAAUUCCUAGUGUAGCGGUGAAAUGCGUAGAUAUUAGGAGGAACACCAGUGGCGAAGGCGGCUUACUGGACAGUAACUGACGUUGAGGCUCGAAAGCGUGGGGAGCAAACAGGAUUAGAUACCCUGGUAGUCCACGCCGUAAACGAUGACUACUAGGUGUCGGGUGGCAAAGCCAUUCGGUGCCGCAGCAAACGCAAUAAGUAGUCCACCUGGGGAGUACGUUCGCAAGAAUGAAACUCAAAGGAAAUUGA